Molecule: ribosomal RNA, 429 nt
Filed under: Actinomycetes bacterium
Lineage: Bacteria; Bacillati; Actinomycetota; Actinomycetes
Description: Actinobacteria bacterium partial 16S ribosomal RNA
Rfam family: Bacterial small subunit ribosomal RNA
Source: RNAcentral
UAGGGAAUCUUCCGCAAUGGGCGAAAGCCUGACGGAGCAACGCCGCGUGAGUGAUGAAGGUCUUCGGAUUGUAAAACUCUUUUAUUAGGGAAGAACAAACGUGUAAGUAACUAUGCACGUCUUGACGGUACCUAAUCAGAAAGCCACGGCUAACUACGUGCCAGCAGCCGCGGCAAUACGUAGGUGGCAAGCGUUAUCCGGAAUUAUUGGGCGUAAAGCGCGCGUAGGCGGUUUUUUAAGUAUGAUGUGAAAGCCCACAGCUCAAACGUGGAGGGUCAUUGGAGACUGGAAAACUUGAGUGCAGAAGAGGAAAGUGGAAUUCCAUGUGUAGCGGUGAAAUGCGCAGAGAUAUGGAGGAACACCAGUGGCGAAGGCGACUUUCUGGACUGUAACUGACGCUGAUGUGCGAAAGCGUGGGGAGCAAACAGG